RNAcentral lists this unclassified non-coding RNA (337 nucleotides) under soil metagenome. RNAcentral's name for it is "partial contains 5.8S ribosomal RNA, internal transcribed spacer 2, and large subunit ribosomal RNA". The stretch from base 1 to 119 matches the Rfam family "5.8S ribosomal RNA", at positions 35 to 154 of the family's 154-position model. The record is from RNAcentral.
GAUGAAGAACGCAGCGAAAUGCGAUACGUAAUGUGAAUUGCAAAUUCAGUGAAUCAUCGAAUCUUUGAACGCACAUUGCGCCCGGUAGUAUUCUGCCGGGCAUGCCUGUUCGAGCGUCAUUUCAACCAUCAAGCCCCAGCGCUUGUGUUGGGGGCCUGCGGCUGCCGCAGCCCCCUAAAAGCAGUGGCGGGCUCGCUAUCACACCGAGUGCAGUAGUUCAUCUUCUCUCCGGUCUUGUGAGGCGGGUUCCGGCCGUGAAACACCCCACUACAUUCAAGGUUGACCUCGGAUCAGGUAGGAAUACCCGCUGAACUUAAGCAUAUCAAUAAGCGGAGGA